GUUAAAAAGCUCGUAGUUGAAUUUCGGGAUCAAUACGUCGGUCGUGCUUUCGGGUACGUACUGGCGUCAUUGGUUUCUCCUUUCUGACGAACCAUGAUGUCAUUAAUUUGGUGUUAUGGGAAUUUGGACUGUUACUUUGAAAAAAUUAGAGUGUUUAAAGCAAGCUAACGCUUGAAUACAUUAGCAUGGAAUAAUGAAAUAGGACGUUCGAUCCUAUUUUGUUGGUUUCUAGGAUUGACGUAAUGAUUAAUAGGGAUAGUUGGGGGCAUUAGUAUUCAAUUGUCAGAGGUGAAAUUCUUGGAUUUAUUGAAGACUAACUAC
This 321-nucleotide ribosomal RNA is filed under the name uncultured Glomus. Its description in RNAcentral is "SSU rRNA". It matches the Rfam family "Eukaryotic small subunit ribosomal RNA", at positions 618 to 943 of the family's 1831-position model. Lineage: Eukaryota; Fungi; Glomeromycota; Glomeromycetes; Glomerales; Glomeraceae. The record is from RNAcentral.